Molecule: ribosomal RNA, 478 nt
Filed under: Methanobacteriota archaeon
Lineage: Archaea; Methanobacteriati; Methanobacteriota
Description: bacterial SSU rRNA
Rfam family: Archaeal small subunit ribosomal RNA
Source: RNAcentral
GUCGUCAGUUCGUACUGUAAAGCGUUCUGUUAAGUCAGAUAACGAACGAGACCCUCAUCUCUAUUUGCUACCCUUCUCUCCGGAGGAGGCGCACCAUAGAGAGACCGCUGGUGCGAAACCAGAGGAAGGCGAGGGCAACGACAGGUCAGUAUGCCCCGAAUGUCCUGGGCUACACGCGCGCUACAAAGGACGGGACAAUGGGAAGCCAGAUCGAGAGAUCGAGCUAACCCGAAACCCGUUCAUAGUUCGGAUUGUGGGCUGUAACUCGCCCACAUGAAGCUGGAUUGCGUAGUAAUCGUGUUUCAACAUAGCACGGUGAAUAUGCCCCUGCUCCUUGCACACACCGCCCGUCAAACCAUCUUAGUUGGGGAUGGAUGAGGCUGCGUUUUAAUGGCGUAUUCGAGUCUGUCUUCGACAAGGAGGGUUAAGUCGUAACAAGGUAUCUGUAGGGGAACCUGCAGAUGGAUCACCUCCUAAG